CUGUAUGUUAAUAGCAAUACACAGUUGAAAAGAUGGAUUCAUAACUUCUAAGUGUCCUGGUUUAGUGAUUAAAUUGCCAAAACAAGGCUUGAAAGUCAGAAAUAAAUUCCCUCUUAAUUCUGUCACAGAUUUGGUUGUGACAUUGAAAGUAUUCCAGUUCUCUAAACAAAGAGAUCUAAAUAUCAAGCUAUUUAACACCCAGAUUCUGUUUCAUGUUACAGCAAAAGGGUGUUAUGUGUACCUGCAGAGAUUAAACCUUAGGUAUUCAGGAAUCAAGACAUUUCCAGUACAGAUCAUUUUUUAAAAGGUGGAUCAUAAUGUCAGUGUACCUGUCUUGCCUCAUUUUUUAGUUAUGGUUAGAAGGGUCAUUUGUAAUUUGUUUAAUAACUCUUAUAUUGCAUAUUUAGGAUUUAUCAAUUUAGACUUUCUGUCUUUGAUAGCACCCUCAUAUCCUUGAUAUUUACACUGAAGUGAACUUCUCUGUUUAGACUCUUUUUUUCCCUUCUCUAAAUCUUCUAUUUUCUCAGCAAUGUUGGCAUGUUGAUCUUUAUAUAUUUAUGUACCUCUAUUUAAGGAAAUGAAAGUUUUAUUUAUUAACAUGUAUAUGUUGAGAUCUUGUGCAAGAGAGGAAAAACACCUAGUAAUGUGCAUUAUACUUUUAUUCACAUAAACAGAACAUAAUCCACUUGAAGAAGAACAGACACCUAGCAUGCAACCUGAGCAAUCCACUACGUCUUUAGUAACUGAACCUGAACCAGAAAUUGUGCUACCUGCAUUUGAAGAGGAUGAUUUUCUAGAUAUACCAGAAAUGGAAAUAAUUAAAACGAAGAUUAACCUUUUCAUGAAUGACUGGCAAACAGUGGAGUCAGAAAUUAAGCAGUCAUCUCAAGUUCAGGUUGUUGUUUUAGAGAUUGCUGAGCAAACUCCAGAAAGUCUGCUUAAUCAAGUUGUUCUGGUUAUGGAGGGUAAGUAAUAUUGUUUAUGUGAUUUACAUUUAACUUACCAAGAUGGAUU
RNAcentral lists this long non-coding RNA (1014 nucleotides) under Anas platyrhynchos platyrhynchos (common mallard). RNAcentral describes it as "lncRNA (ENSAPLG00000027610.1)". Lineage: Eukaryota; Metazoa; Chordata; Aves; Anseriformes; Anatidae. The record is from RNAcentral.